AGAUUCACCUCUCAAAAGGUUACAUAUGAUAAGACUGACAACUAAAGAACGAAAAUAGUGUCGGCGAGAUGAACCCGGUAUGCCACCAGUACAUUGUAACGCCAAGCGGUGUUAACUGUUGGUGAUACAAGCUCUAAUUAGAUUUACAUUUUCUUUGUUCCGUGACUUCUAAAUACCAUGUUGUGACAAUACAUUGCCUAUGUAUGAUUAUCUUAGCGUUUGUUCCUUGCUUUUGUUUCUCUCGGUAGAAUCAACAAAUUUUAGUUGCUACAAUGUAUUUUCCUCCCGUUCGAUGGUUGUAUAUAAAUGUUUAUUUCUCUAUUUAUAAUUUA
Non-coding RNA from Lolium perenne, 332 nucleotides. The record is from RefSeq and is a predicted model, not a curated record. NCBI's taxonomy places the organism in Eukaryota, Viridiplantae, Streptophyta, Magnoliopsida, Poales, Poaceae.